GCCCACCUUGGGAUACCAGGCGACGCCGGUCGCCUCGCGCGCGGUCAUCGCCAGGGCAGGAUCGGCGCCCACGGCGGGCA
RNAcentral lists this transfer RNA (80 nucleotides) under Stenotrophomonas maltophilia. RNAcentral describes it as "tRNA-Ala(cgc)". The record is from RNAcentral. RNAcentral also lists the same sequence under 1 other name. Lineage: Bacteria; Pseudomonadati; Pseudomonadota; Gammaproteobacteria; Lysobacterales; Lysobacteraceae.